Molecule: non-coding RNA, 210 nt
Filed under: Methylobacterium brachiatum
Lineage: Bacteria; Pseudomonadati; Pseudomonadota; Alphaproteobacteria; Hyphomicrobiales; Methylobacteriaceae
Source: RNAcentral
UGCGGAUAGAACCGUCAAGGUUCUCACGGUUUCGUGACCGUGAGCUAAGAGGGAAUUCGGUGAGGCCCGUGAGGGCGAGACCGAAGCUGCCCCCGCAACUGUGAGCGGCGAGCCGCUGCCGAGAAAGACCACUGGUGCUCCGCACUGGGAAGGUCAGGCAGAGGUGACGACCCGUGAGCCAGGAGACCUGCCUUGGCGUGGUUUUCGUCU